Molecule: RNA transcript, 1916 nt
Organism: Triticum aestivum (bread wheat)
Lineage: Eukaryota; Viridiplantae; Streptophyta; Magnoliopsida; Poales; Poaceae
Exons: 4
Source: RefSeq, a predicted model, not a curated record
GCCUCUCCACCGCCCGACCACCCCGCCCCCCGCCGGCGACCAGCCACCCUACGCCCCGCCGCCUCCCGGCCACCCCCGCGCCUCGCCGCCGCCCGGCCACCCCGCGCCUCGCUGCUGCCGCCCAUCCUACGGUGGUCGCUAUUCCCAUCCCUAUCUCCGCGCAACGCCACCCCCAAUCGGACCCGACCAAAUCACGUCGCCAUGGCGCGGUGUCUCCAUCUCCCGACGACGGAGCAGCACCUCCCCGACGGCGUGCCUACCACCGCCGACGAGGAACUCUGCCCCAAGCCUCCUCCCCCCUCCUCACGUCCGGAUGGGCAAGAUCCAGCCGGCGAUGAAGCCUAUCCCACCGGCGCAGCUCCCCAUCGCCAUUGCGCUGCUCCUUCCCCGCGUGUCUCCAGUUCCCCUCGCUGCUCAGAUUGGUGUGCCGCGGUGCCGCCACCCAGGUCAAUUUCAUUCCUUCAGCCCUGCAUCUCCUUGAUGGCUCGUUGGAUCACUUCUACAUAAUCAGUUCUUUGACAUGUGUGUUGCACGGUAGGUGUUUGCAGUAAUGCUUGAGCACAGCACCAACAGUCGCCGCGGUCACUUCAUCCCUGAACUGCCACGCGCCGCCUGCGGCCUUGCUUCUUCCCCUGUCUUCUGCCCGGGCGAACCCCCUUUUCUCCUCCCAGGCACAGCUGCAACCUCCUUCUCAGUCCAAAUUGAGCGCUGGUUGUCGUACAAGUUGGAUCCUGGCUACAGUCUUCGCCAUAGAAGCCAUCAUCCCUGUUCUGAACUACCAACAGCCUCUGCUAAUGUGCACAAAAUUCAAGUUCAAUAAAACAAAAAAUGGAAGGUCAGAUAUGUCCGUUCAACCACCGCCAACCGAGGUCGUUCAACGACGCGCCGGGCAAAGAAUAUCAAGUAAAUAAGCAACUUCGACAUGCCAAUGGGACCUUUUUAUUAAGGGCUUUGACUACGACUGAUGGAAGUUGGUAUUCUGUGACGUUGCGCUCAGCGGCAGGAGGGCGAGGAUCUCUUCUUCUCGGCAGUACAACUGCACCCUCCGGCGCCGUUCACGAGAAGAGCUACGUGCAGGCCACCUGUGCUCCACCCUGGAUUUUUUCAAUAAUCAGGUCGUCGUCGUCAGGGUUCCUGCCCCACGGCAGUCAUACUGGCUCAUGCGCCACUGUCGUCGGUCCUUUUUCGGUUGGAGAUAGGUAGCGCCCCCAGGGAGCCCCUUCUUCAGUGGUUCAUUGGUCUGUCAAGUAUGAAGGAGGUUCAAAGAUUGUCGUGGAUCAAGUUAAAGAGUUUAGUACACCUGCGUCAGUCGGCCACCGUAGGAUGUAGCUACUACUCUCUCAAGUCAUAGGCUGCGGUUGCUACUUCUUUGUACUCGUAAUUUGUUAUUUCUUUGCAACCAGAUGUGACAGACGGAUGCAAGAGGCAAAGUGUCCUAUUUGUUAGAUGUUCAGUACAGAUUUUUCUCUAAGAAAAAAACAACGGGAGGCAACAGUUUUGAAUGUGCUAGUUGUAAGUAACUUAGUUGUUAGAUGGUCAUUUCAGAUUUUUGUAGAUGCAACAACUAGUUUGUUUGCUUGUGCUAGUUGAACUGGUCUUGGUUCAGAUAUUUCUCUGAGAAAAAUGAGCGCAAUGAUGGGCCACUAGCUUAAUUUCUAGGCGCACACGACAUCUUUGGUCGCGUGGUCGGCACCAUUAUCUUAAAUAUUUGUUUCUGCACUAAGUUUCUUAAUGUAUUUUGUUCGCAAAAUUUUAGUGAAAAUUUUACCUCACGUUACUCGUGAUCUCGCAACUGUAUGUUCACCCGUGAAGGUAUCUCUCAUUGCUUAUUGUUACAUUAAUUUCCGUGAUAAGAAAGGUUUACAUUAAAAGUAACAUCAUAUAGGAAAAAUGCUUCUAUUCUAACACAUUUUUUU